GUGGGGAAUAUUGGACAAUGGGGGGAACCCUGAUCCAGCCAUGCCGCGUGUGUGAAGAAGGCCUUUUGGUUGUAAAGCACUUUAAGCGAGGAGGAGGCUACCGAGAUUAAUACUCUUGGAUAGUGGACGUUACUCGCAGAAUAAGCACCGGCUAACUCUGUGCCAGCAGCCGCGGUAAUACAGAGGGUGCAAGCGUUAAUCGGAUUUACUGGGCGUAAAGCGCGCGUAGGUGGCCAAUUAAGUCAAAUGUGAAAUCCCCGAGCUUAACUUGGGAAUUGCAUUCGAUACUGGUUGGCUAGAGUAUUGGAGAGGAUGGUAGAAUUCCAGGUGUAGCGGUGAAAUGCGUAGAGAUCUGGAGGAAUACCGAUGGCGAAGGCAGCCAUCUGGCCUAAUACUGACACUGAGGUGCGAAAGCAUGGGGAGCAAACAGGAUUAGAUACCCCGGUAGUCC
This 451-nucleotide ribosomal RNA is filed under the name uncultured bacterium. Its description in RNAcentral is "partial 16S ribosomal RNA". It matches the Rfam family "Bacterial small subunit ribosomal RNA", at positions 354 to 796 of the family's 1533-position model. The record is from RNAcentral.